ACCUGCACCUGAACCAAUCAAAACCAGCUGCAGUAACUCCAGACCAUAGACUGCCCCCACAGGCUUGUACAGCAGCUCUAGACAUGAUGCUGCAUCCCUU
This is a long non-coding RNA of Melanotaenia boesemani (Boeseman's rainbowfish), 100 nucleotides long. RefSeq lists it as uncharacterized. The record is from RefSeq and is a predicted model, not a curated record. The transcript has 3 exons. NCBI's taxonomy places the organism in Eukaryota, Metazoa, Chordata, Actinopteri, Atheriniformes, Melanotaeniidae.